Molecule: ribosomal RNA, 506 nt
Filed under: uncultured bacterium
Lineage: Bacteria
Description: partial 16S ribosomal RNA
Rfam family: Bacterial small subunit ribosomal RNA
Source: RNAcentral
AUUGAACGCUGGCGGCAUGCCUAACACAUGCAAGUCGAACGGCAGCACGGCCUAGCUUGCUAGAUGGGUGGCGAGUGGCGAACGGGUGAGUAACGCGUAGGAAUAUGCCUUGAAGUGGGGGUCAACUUGGGGAAACUCAAGCUAAUACCGCAUAAUUUCUUAGGAAAAAAGCUGGGGACCUUAGGGCCUGGCGCUUCAAGAUUAGCCUGCGUACGAUUAGCUAGUUGGUAGGGUAAGAGCCUACCAAGGCGACGAUCGUUAGCUGGUCUGAGAGGAUGGCCAGCCACACUGGAACUGAGACACGGUCCAGACUCCUACGGGAGGCAGCAGUGGGGAAUAUUGGACAAUGGGGGCAACCCUGAUCCAGCAAUGCCGCGUGUGUGAAGAAGGCCUGAGGGUUGUAAAGCACUUUCAGUGGGGAGGAGGAUUGCCAGGUUAAGAGCUAGGUAAUUGGACGUUACCCACAGAAGAAGCACCGGCUAACUCCGUGCCAGCAGCCGCGGUAA